UACGGGGGGGGCAAGCGUUGUUCGGAAUUAUUGGGCGUAAAGGGCGCGUAGGCGGCCUUUCAAGUGACGGGUGAAAUCCCUCGGCUUAACCGAGGAACUGCCUGUCAGACUGGAAGGCUUGAGACCGGGAGAGGUGAGUGGAAUUCCCAGUGUAGCGGUGAAAUGCGUAGAUAUUGGGAGGAACACCAGUGGCGAAGGCGGCUCACUGGACCGGUACUGACGCUGAGGCGCGAAAGCGUGGGGAGCAAACAGG
This 253-nucleotide ribosomal RNA is filed under the name uncultured bacterium. Its description in RNAcentral is "partial 16S ribosomal RNA". It matches the Rfam family "Bacterial small subunit ribosomal RNA", at positions 524 to 776 of the family's 1533-position model. The record is from RNAcentral.